CUGCUCUUGGAAAGUCGUCGGGUUAUUGCUUGCAGCAAAUUGAAACGAAAUAAUAAUUAUUUUUUCUCUGGUAUGGUUUCAGCUUCCAUGAAGAAAAAGGCCACAUAUUGGUAUAAAUUAAAAUUAAAUGAUAUGGGAGACUUCUGAACAGUGAAUGUGAAUGUCCUGCUGGUACGGGACCGCAUGCCACCUGCAAGCACAUAGCGGCUGUUUGUUUGUUUCUUGUACAUUCAAAAGAAAGUGGAGUAUUGUUAAUUGAAGAUUGCUGUACUAGCAAAUUACAGCGGUUCCAUCACCCCAAACGCAAACAUGCAGGACCACCUAUAACAAUUGAGGAUACAUUCAAGCAUGUACGGUCAGCAGAAGUUUCAGGGUACAUGGUAGAUAACCCUCGGCCAAAAAAAUAUAGGAAUUUGCCAGAUGUAUAUAAUGAUUAUGUACGCAAACAAGUGAUAAAUUAUUGUGCUUCGACUGGAGAAAAUAUAACCCUACGCUAUUUGUUUUGAGGGUGCCGAUCUUCUUACUGCUUAAAAAGACCAUGACUACCUUAAACGACCUUUCGUGGAAUAUUGGGUGGAUACCGUAGUAAAGUUGAAUGAAAAAAGGCAAAACGGGUUGAACAAUCUACUCGGCAUCAACACGAAAGCAAAGAAUGGCACGAGCAACGUAAAUUUCGCCUUACUGCAUCACGCUUCGGGGAGAUUGCUGCUAUUACAGACAGGCGCAAUUUAAAUAAGCUUUGCGAAUCUAUGUUGGAUACUAAGCCUCUUGCAAUUCCAGCUGUGUUACAUGGCCAAAAGUUUGAAGCUGUGGCUUUACAUAAAUUUAUGGAAAAUCACAAAAUCCAAGAGUUGAAAAGUGUGGCCUUUUCGUCAAUCCCGACAUACCUUAUUUUGGAGCAUCACCGAAUGGUAUAGUGGGCACUGAUAAAAUUGUUGAAAUUAAAUGCCCAUUCACUGGUAAAUACCAAAAAAUCAAACCAGGUACAACCUUUCUUUUUUUGCAAUACACUGAAAAUUCAACAAUAGUUUUAAAAGAAAACCAUAAAUAUUAUGCUAAAAUCCAGGCUCAACUAGGCAUCACUGGAAGAAAAAUGUGCUAUUUUAUAGUUUACACAUUUAAAGAUAUCUUUGUGCAAAAUAUUCCAUUUGACCCUCAUUUUUAUAGUUACUUGAUGAGAAAACUUCACAAUUUUUGUACUGAACACUGGAUACCAUUUGUUUCCAAAAAACUAUGUGUCAAAACUUAAAAAAGUAACUUGAUUUGUAAAUUGUUAUAAUUUAUUAUGCAGAUAAAAAAUGUAAAUAAAUCAGUCAAGAAAGAUUACAUUUCUAAAUCAUUACUACUUUUUAAUUCUUCUUUACAAUGCAUGAUCUGAAAUUUGAAAUUUGGAAACACACAUAAAUAAUUCUGGAUCCAACAGCAGUCAUUUGUGGUGAAAGGGGGCGUUCAAGGAUUCUGUAUGUUUUCGAGAGACCAAUGAUAUACGCUCAACAUGGAUGCGAUGAGAAGCCACUCUCCUGUCGUGCACUCGUUGUGUAGCCUCUAGCUGAUGCUUUCCUCUAAGCAUUGUAGGUGUAUUAACACAAACGUCAAAUGAUGCAAACAAAUCCUGCACUAAAAUUCCCCGAUCAGCCA
Molecule: non-coding RNA, 1638 nt
Organism: Ciona intestinalis (vase tunicate)
Lineage: Eukaryota; Metazoa; Chordata; Ascidiacea; Phlebobranchia; Cionidae
Source: RefSeq, a predicted model, not a curated record